RNAcentral lists this ribosomal RNA (559 nucleotides) under uncultured bacterium. RNAcentral's name for it is "bacterial SSU rRNA". It matches the Rfam family "Bacterial small subunit ribosomal RNA", at positions 119 to 674 of the family's 1533-position model. The record is from RNAcentral.
CGGAACGUGCCCAGUUGUGGGGGAUAACUGCUCGAAAGAGCAGCUAAUACCGCAUACGACCUGAGGGUGAAAGCGGGGGAUCGCAAGACCUCGCGCAAUUGGAGCGGCCGAUAUCAGAUUAGGUAGUUGGUGGGGUAAAGGCCUACCAAGCCUACGAUCUGUAGCUGGUCUGAGAGGACGACCAGCCACACUGGGACUGAGACACGGCCCAGACUCCUACGGGAGGCAGCAGUGGGGAAUUUUGGACAAUGGGGGCAACCCUGAUCCAGCCAUGCCGCGUGCGGGAAGAAGGCCUUCGGGUUGUAAACCGCUUUUGUCAGGGAAGAAAUCCUUUGAACUAAUACUUCGGAGGGAUGACGGUACCUGAAGAAUAAGCACCGGCUAACUACGUGCCAGCAGCCGCGGUAAUACGUAGGGUGCAAGCGUUAAUCGGAAUUACUGGGCGUAAAGCGUGCGCAGGCGGUUAUGCAAGACAGAUGUGAAAUCCCCGGGCUCAACCUGGGAACUGCAUUUGUGACUGCAUAGCUAGAGUACGGUAGAGGGGGAUGGAAUUCCACGU